AAUUUUCUUUUCCCUGAGUAAUUAAGAAUAAAAUAUUAGUCAAAUUGCAAUAAAAAAAAAAAAUUUCAAGAACAACACAAGUUCAGCAUCUUGGCUUAACAUCACAGCCGUGCCUUGCCUAAUUAAGCGGAUAAAUUUUAUUCAACAAUCUUAUCAAGAUUCUGAUACAUGGUUCCUGCACUCUCAAGGAUAAACUUCAAUUAGGGACCUUAAACCAAGUACGGGUGUUAUCUUGUAGUGACUGAAACCGGCCUUCAAGAAUAGCUCUUCCCAUUCUUUCUCCGUUCUCUCUCUUCCGGUAGUCACAUACAUCAUCAGCAUGUCAAAGAGUAGCUUUGUUUCUGUCAAUUCAUCUUCAUCUUUCUUCUCAUUUAUCACCAAGUCUAUGACAAUCACCUUUCCUCCCUUUCCUUUGCUAGAAAUGGCUUCUUUGCAUUUCUUCAGUAUUUUCAGGCAUUCCUCAUCACUCCAACCGUGCAAAAUUAACUUAAGUAUGAUGGCAUCUGCAGCAGGGACGUGCUGAAACAUAUCACCUCCGACAUAAUUCAAGUUCUUAGUGCCUUCUAAAUUGGCAAUGACCUGAGGAAUUUCAAGAACAGUGCAUUUCAUACGAGGGAAUGCCUCUGAUAUGAUCCUGGCCAAGGAUCCAUUACCGCCUCCCACAUCAACCAAUGAAUUCACCCCUUCAAAAAUUGCCUUGCAGUCUCUAAUGACCAAAUUCAUCAUCUGAGAAUCACUGGCCAUUGCUUCAUUAAAAAGCUGGUUAAAUUCAGGGUUUCUAUCAUUAUAUUCCCAAAAUGCCAUUCCAUGUGCUUUCUCAAAUACUGUGACCUCGUUGCCUCGAAACCAAUCUCCCAAGACAUGCCCUAGAGUUACAAAAUCUGGCUUAAGCAAUGAAUUAACGAAGGGUGUCAAGCAAUUGGGGUUAUCCUUGACAAGGAGCUUAGAAGAUGAUGUUAGAACAUAAGCUUCUUGUCCUUCUUCUUGAGCAUUAGGAGCUUUUGUGGUAGAAAAGAAUCCAGAGAACACCAGCAUGCGCAUGAACCGGUAGACGAAACAGGUUUUGGUUGGGUGGAUGCCAAGUGCUGAGACGAGCUCAGGAAGGGUGAUGGGUUUGCCAUGGUUGUGAAUUAUGUCUGGUAUGCCCAGCUGAACUGCGCACUUGAGUGACAUAGAAUUGAUGUAGUUAAAUAUGUGAUUAUACAAAUGAACUUGAGCUUGCAACAGUUCAUUUGCACUCCGGCUAUGCAUGGAAUCCAUAACCAGGAAAUUCACCAAAAUUCUGGCAGAUGGUGGAAUGGAAAUACCCCCCUUUUUUU
RNAcentral lists this unclassified non-coding RNA (1319 nucleotides) under Hevea brasiliensis (rubber tree). The record is from RNAcentral. Lineage: Eukaryota; Viridiplantae; Streptophyta; Magnoliopsida; Malpighiales; Euphorbiaceae.